CCUACGCUUGACAUGGUCGGAAUCCUGCUGAGAGGUGGGAGUGCUUGAAAGAGAACCGGCGCACAGGUGCUGCAUGGCUGUCGUCAGCUCGUGUCGUGAGAUGAUGGGUUAAGUCCCGCAACGAGCGCAACCCUUGUCCUUAGUUGCUACGCAAGAGCACUCUAAGGAGACUGCCGGUGACAAACCGGAGGAAGGUGGGGAUGACGUCAAGUCCUCAUGGCCCUUAUGGGUAGGGCUUCACACGUCAUACAAUGGUCGGAACAGAGGGUUGCCAACCCGCGAGGGGGAGCUAAUCCCAGAAAACCGAUCGUAGUCCGGAUUGCACUCUGCAACUCGAGUGCAUGAAGCUGGAAUCGCUAGUAAUCGCGGAUCAGCAUGCCGCGGUGAAUACGUUCCCGGGUCUUGUACACACCGCCCGUCACACCAUGGGAGUGGGUUUUACCAGAAGU
This 449-nucleotide ribosomal RNA is filed under the name Burkholderia puraquae. Its description in RNAcentral is "bacterial SSU rRNA". It matches the Rfam family "Bacterial small subunit ribosomal RNA", at positions 974 to 1427 of the family's 1533-position model. The record is from RNAcentral. Lineage: Bacteria; Pseudomonadati; Pseudomonadota; Betaproteobacteria; Burkholderiales; Burkholderiaceae.